UACGAAGGAUCCAAGCGUUAUCCGGAUUUAUUGGGUUUAAAGGGUGCGUAGGCGGCUUUUUAAGUCAGUGGUGAAAGCUCCAUGCUUAACAUGGAAGUUGCCAUUGAUACUGAAGAGCUUGAGUACAUUUGAAGUGGGCGGAAUAUGUCAUGUAGAGGUGAAAUUCUUAGAGAUGACAUAGAACACCGAUUGCGAAGGCAGCUCACUAAACUGUAACUGACGCUGAGGCACGAAAGCGUGGGGAUCAAACAGG
This 253-nucleotide ribosomal RNA is filed under the name uncultured bacterium. RNAcentral's name for it is "partial 16S ribosomal RNA". It matches the Rfam family "Bacterial small subunit ribosomal RNA", at positions 524 to 776 of the family's 1533-position model. The record is from RNAcentral.